Molecule: long non-coding RNA, 796 nt
Organism: Sitodiplosis mosellana (orange wheat blossom midge)
Lineage: Eukaryota; Metazoa; Arthropoda; Insecta; Diptera; Cecidomyiidae
Exons: 3
Source: RefSeq, a predicted model, not a curated record
CCACAAGUUUGGCCACAAGUACCCGGAGAUUGACAAAAACCCUUGCAAAAACCACACAACUUGCACACAAUUCACUCAUUCAUCCUUGGAUUCAUCUGGUAAAACCAAAUAAAAGGCGUAGGUAAUAAAGUUUGCUAGCGAAGUUGUCGAUGGUGACCGGUGAAAGACUCGUGGAAAAUUUACUCUAACUGGUAGACAACAUACAAAUCGGUGAUAAGACGGAUAAAGGGUAUUUGUUGCAACAAGUUUCAGAAGAAAGCAAUGGAAAAAUCGAUUGGCAAAAUUCACCAACUGUGUUGCAAACGAUCGACCACAAUCCGACAUUAGUUGGAGCAAUCAACGAUACCAACAAUGCGUUUCAUAAGCGUCAAGACGUUCGACCUCAGAUCCGGGAAAAAAACAACAUCUUCUACCGGAUUGAGCUGGAUGAUCAGAUUGAGGAAGCUAAAUCCUUGGCUUAAUCUAAAAAUAAAACACAAGUUUGAAUAGGCAAAUUUGGUGCGAAUUCGAAUUCAUAUCGAACAAAAAACACAAAAUAUUAUAUUGAGGCACUGUUCAUUUAUCAGCAACAAACAGCAAUAAAACUACAGAAAAAUACAACAAACAUCUAGUAAUUUACGAUCAAGCUUUUUAAAUCCACAAAAAUAUAUAUUGAAACAUAUAAUAAUAAUCUAGUUAUGUUUCAAAAACGUUUCGAUUCUAUUAAAUUUUUUUCUUCAUUUUUGGUUUUUUCUACUUCCGUUUUCGCUCUAAAUCUAAUGAUCUUUGUUACAUCUGCUUAUAAAAAAAUAAGAAU